RNAcentral lists this small RNA (99 nucleotides) under Yersinia enterocolitica. RNAcentral's name for it is "partial RtT sRNA". It matches the Rfam family "RtT RNA", at positions 29 to 130 of the family's 130-position model. From Rfam's summary of the family: This family represents a bacterial cis-regulatory element known as RtT RNA. Lineage: Bacteria; Pseudomonadati; Pseudomonadota; Gammaproteobacteria; Enterobacterales; Yersiniaceae. The record is from RNAcentral.
CCUGCGUUCAGGUUCGAGCCGAGCGGAGCGAGACAGCAACGCGCCAGCGUUGACCCGAAGGGCGAGGCCAGCGGCCGAGUCAUCCCGCACGACCCACCA